CCUGGCCUCUGAAAUGCCACUCACAGGUUGGGAGUCAAGCGUUGCCACUCCGUGUGUCCCCUUGCUCAGGAUCCUGUUAUGUUUGGAAGCUAAAUAGACUCUGGCAGUUGACUUUUUGGCAACAACUUGAAAACUGAGUGACAGCAGACAUAAGACACUGCAGGAGCUUCUUCUACUUGAGAUGUUCAGUUAUCUAUCUACAUGAAAGAACCUUUUCUUUUUUUUUUGUUUUGCUGACACCUUCCUGCUGGGAGCUGAACACUGCUUGAAUCAUCCAUCCAGGGCAAUUUGCUAAUAAAAGUAAGGAAUUGCCUUCUGAAUCUCUUUGUUGGCAUGAAUGUGACGAGAGGAGCGGAGACGGACUCAUCAGAGGCGUGCCGGAAGCCUGUCAGGGAGUAACCUGGGCAUGUCCUCCUGUCACCUCCCCUCCGAGCCCCGUGGAGCAGGGCAAGCCUAGUAGGUGCUUGCUGUUUGGAUAUAAAUGUGUCUCUUUCCUACUUCUCAGCAUAUGUACAGAGUCAAACUCCCCAAGUGUAAGGCCUUCUGCAUCUGGCCUAGCUCUAAUUUUAUUGAAAAACAAGGAAAAAUAGACUAAAAAACCCUCCAUGGUGCUGCAGUGAUCAGCCCCUCAUUGGUUAUAAUGGGUGGUGUCCCUCACAGCCCUGGCCACGCCAGCUCUUCCCCCUACUGUUGUCUGCUCAGUGCCUGUUUAGUGAUCUCUGGGGUCUGCCUUUGGAUGUUGCAUUCACCCCAAACCUUUCUGGUUCAAGUAGCACAGUACAGCCUGGGGGUGGCAGGGGGGAGGUGUAAGGCAGCUGGAUGUGAAGCCAGUCGCAUCCCUCCCUUGGGUACCCUUUGGUACAGACACCAAGGUGCCUUCACCAUGCCAGCUGGAUGGUCUGCUGGGUGAAGGCAGUGUCCUCCACCUGAUCUUGCCCAUAACCAGGGGGAGGAGGUAACUGUUAUGCUGUUCCUUUCCUGCUUCUCCAUAUGCAUCCUUUUUCCAGCUGGCUGGUAUCACGGAGAAGAGCCAAGAUAUCACCCAUUUCCCUAAUCUCUGCCUACCCAGAUGUGGGGGGCCGCAGCCCCACAGAGGUUGUCCUUCCAUCUCUAUACCCUGUUUUGUAUAUGGGGAGAUGGGGGAAGGUAAUAGUCUUGCCUCUAAUUGGAAACUGAUUGGCUCCUGCUGUGUUCUGCAUUGCAAUUAAUCCCUAACCAGGCCUAGUGAAGGGCUGGGAUGAGGUGCAGAAGGCUUGCCCUAUUCUAUGUGCUCUGUAACUCAAAGCACUAGGAAAAACCUUGCUGUCAGGUAUCGAUUCCAAGGUCUCUUCUUCCAGACUGGGUUGUGGCAUGAUGCUCUGUGCCUGGGAGCUCAAGCAGAGGACAUGUCACAUCUCGGUGUGAGUAGGUGGAUCGCAGGUCUGCAUAGCUGCUCGGUUUCCUUGUGAUGCGCUGACCAAAAGAGUCUUUUUGUGAGUUAUGCCAUUGCUGUCAGCAUGAUAUUCCUAUGUGCUGUGUGCUUCCUCCCUGGCUGGUUCAGGUACAUCCCAUAUCUCCAUUGCUUUUGAUUUGUGUUUUGAUGAACCCUGUAAAACGGGUGGCAUGGUCUUCCCUGCGUUCUCUCUGCAUUUUGACAGAUCUGCCUUCCUCCAAGGCUGCAGACCACAGGAGUCUGACACUGCUUUCUGACACCCGCACCUCUCUCCCACCUGUUGACCACCUCAAUGUACCUUUUUCACUGACUGGCUUUCUUGCAUAGGUACUAGCCUCUGGCUGCUUUACUACUGCAUCCAGGAAGAGCACAGACCAUCUACAGAUGCUCUGUCUGCCUGCUGAAGGGUAUUUGUACCCAAAAGCUUGCAAAGAAUAAUUUUUUCCAAGUAUUUUAGUUGGUCUAAUAAAAGAGAUGGGAUUUACCCAAAGAACCUUGUCUGCCUAUGUCCUUAGACCAACACGGCUACAACCUAUACCCCUGACACUGGUUUCUGCUCCCACCUCCGAACUUGAGUCUGGACUCAUGCUUCACCUGAGUGGAUCUCCUCUCACUCCCUUGCCUUCCAGUGCAGAGACAGUCAGACAGGCUAGCUGCUAGUCACUCCUGCCAGGUGGAUGACACUGAGUGGCAAUCUCCAAACCCCAUGGCAGUGUAUGAGGCAUCUGAGUACCGUAUGGUGCAUCUCAUAGCAUGGAGCAGGGAUGAAGCCAGCUGUGAUGUGUGGGAAUUGGAAUUCCCUUUCUCCCCCCAUUGACUGUGAUGACAAAGAGACUGUCUGAGGUUGGGAGUGGACACUGAAUGCCUUGCAGCAGCCUGUUGUUGAUGUAUGAACCACCAGCCUGGGUGGAGGAAGCUUCAUCAAUCUCUUCAGAGGUGUUGCCAGCCUAGUGUUUGGAGGGACUGUUUACACAACAGAGAGAUGAAUAGGUCUAUGCUACGGACACAUUGCUUCCCUUACAGCAUUACAGUGAUGCCACUGCUGCCUUCAAACAAGACAAAUUCUGAAAUGUUGCAGGCGUUCAGAGAAAAUAAUAUCCCACCCCCAAAGAAUCUUGUAUCAAAUAUGAGACAGGUGCUGUGCAUCAUGGAAGACCAAUAUAGACACUUUUACAUCACUGUUAGAGAUGAGAGGGCUGAGAAGAGACUGUCCCACUUCUUAUCUACCUUACUGCCAUGUCCUGAACAUGCUUCCUCCGUCCACACUGGACCUCAUCAUAGAGUCAUAGAAAACGAGGCUUGGAAGGGACCUUGGGAGGUCACAUCUAGUCCAACCCCCUGCUCCAAGCAGGACUAGCCCCAACUAGAUCAUCCUAGCCAAGCAUUUAUCCAUCUGGGUCUUAAAAACCUCCAAGGAUGGAGAUCCCACAACCUCUCUGGGUAACCUGUCCCAGUGCUUUACUACCUUCCUAGUGAGAGAGUUUUUCCUAAUAUCUGAUGUAAACUUCCCUGGCUACAAGUUGAGACCAUUGUGAUUAGUCGGUUGCAAACCUGGUUCACGGAUGAAAAUCAGAAGCAACUCCUUUGAAGCCAGUGGCUUGUUCAAAUGAAGGCAGGGUGGUAAAAAAACUCCCAGAUGAACAGGAAUUGCCUCAUUAUUCCCUUCUUGGAGCUCUCCUCCAUAAUAGUACAAUGCACACACCAAUAGACUCCUAUGCAAGCUAGAAUGGUUGUGUCACACCCAUGUUUGGAUGCUGUGGAAGCCGAGAGAGGAACAAUCUGAUCCUUCACGCCCCAAAAGUGGCUCCAUGUUGAAAUUCUCUCUUGGGUCUGGGUACGCUAUCCUGCCUCUCUCUUCCAGGGGUCUUAUGGCCAGGUGAAUGUGGAAGAAAAUCGGAGUAACUUUUUCUUUCGAAUGGCGAACUGAGAAAGCGGGCAAUAUUCCCAUAUGCGAUCCGCGAUCUUCCCCUGCCCAUAUACCUUGGCAUCAACGUGUGAAUUUCCAAAGAUCUAUUUCACCCUAAGGACCAAAGAGGAAAAUACCCCAGUAGCUUAUGACAGAGGGUUCGGGAUUCCAGUCUCUAAAACUUCCACUGACUUCAUUGAGACCUUUGCCUGCAAACUAGCUAAUGGAGCAAGCACUAAAUUACAGCCAGACCCAUCUUCCUGGCAUCCCCCUGCUCCUCUUCAAAGCCCUUUGUGAUAAUGACUCUUUCCAGCCAGCACUGCCUACCCGCCUCCAUGCCAAGCAAGCGUCUGCCUCUCUAAUAAUGGGUUGGAUCACUGGAGACUCGCGCGCUACAUCCCUGUCUCUCCAGGACUCAGCUUUUAUGCUAUAUAAGCUCCAAGCUCUUCUACCGUUGCUGCUUUUAUUUUGGGUCGUGUGAGUCUGUAUCACCUGUGCCUUUGUUAGAGGGAAGUUUGAGCCAGUCACGUGCCAACCUGUGUGUGUCUGGGGUGCAUUUGUGACUGUUGCAUCACCUGAGUAUGGGGAUGUGUUGCACAUUUGUGUCGUUUCUUCUGUGUGCCAAAAGUGCAGGAGAUCUUACGGGUCUUGUCUGUGUUUUACACAAACCUUCCCUGUGUGUGCAUAUCAGGUUGCGCUAAGGUGUGUGUCAGCCUGCUUGUGGCUGCAUGGGGGAUGUUUGGUGAACCCGUGCUGCAUCACGUUGUGCAUGUAGUCAUGGUGUCUUUACAGCGUGUGUGAGGAUCAGCACUGUGUCACCUCGUGCAUGUUUCCGCGUUGUCUCUCCGUUGCAUGCUAACCCCUGCGAUACCUUCCUGAGUGAUUUGUGGCCAUGACAAGUUGAAUUGUGGGUAAACUGCACAGCAAAUGGGGAGCAAAUUGGAGCUCUGGCUGCUGCCGAAGGGGUCAUUCAUCACCUCUGCGCAAGGCUGCAGCCGGCACUGUUUGAUCACCCAUCCCCGGAUCACACCCAGUUUUUCGGGUCCUCCACUAAUUUAUGUCACACUGGAUGCAGAAGAGCUCCACCCCAGCCUUCCCAGGGCUUUCAUCUCUGUGUGGGGAACGAAUUGCCCUGUCACUCCCAGGCUUUGCUCCCUCCCUCCACGCAAACACCAUUCCCCCACCUCGGGAGCUGUGGCUAUAAUGCAUCAAGGUCGGUGCCCGCCAGUGAGUGAUGGGGCAGCAACAGGAACUGAUUGCACAGGGACUGGCUGACCUAUUCAUACUCCAUGCAUCCAAGUCACACGGGGCAGGGGAUGCGGCUGCAGCCAGACUUGAAGCACUUCAGCGCACACCAUGCCCUCCUUCAAGCCUUGAGACAGCUGGCGGGGGAGGAAGACACAGAGUCACAGCAUGGAGUCCCCCAAAAUUAGAAGAUGUAGCUUCAAUGCUGUUGUCUCUAAAUCAGUCCCUGCGGCACCUCCUGCUGGGACCAGAGUAUCUGGGCACUCCCACGCAACCAGGCCUUCUGCCUAAUUCCUCACAGUACCACAGCUGGGAGAGGCAGGGACUGGGAUAGCCCUGAGCUUCCCCCACACCCAGCCCCAUUGCACCUUCCUCGCAACCCUUCCUGCUGCUAGGACAGGUGCCAGACAGCCAGGAAACCUGCGCUGUUCUCUGCAGCCCGACUAUGGUGGAACAACUGGGGGCUCAUGUACCCCCUUCCCAGCACUCCCCUGUUGUCAUCCAUGUCCUCUAAUGGCUAUACUGGAGUCUCAGGAUCCCAGGACUCUGCAGUGAGAGGUGCUAAUAGAUAGUAAAAUGAACUUGUAGCUAGGGACCAUGGAAAAGAGAUGCCAACUAGCACUGGGAUGGCUUUGACUAUUUUACCACGUCCCCUAAAUGGAUGUGGCCAAAACAGAGGUUCUUGUCUUGACGCUUAUUAAACUCUAAUCUCAGUGUCAUCGCUCAGUAUUACAGCUGGAUGCAAGCCAAUGCAUUUAAACAAAGAGAAACAGAAAGACUUACGAGAUGGCUUGAAACCUUUGCCAGCAAACUGCAGAAUAACCUCCGGGCUGGAAGAACUGGACUGACCUGAUGUGGGUGAGGAGAGAUCUCAAGAAAUUGCCAAUUAGAAAGUUUCUCCUUCUAAUGAUGGAAGAUUUGGGGAAAAGCAAAUAGUGAAGGUAGAGUCGCACCUUAAAGACUAACUGAAUUAGGCGAGGAGACUGGACUGAGACCUAUGAGCACGUCCUGCCUGUGCUCUGCAAACUGAAUGUUUUCAGGUAGAGGAGAUACCCCCUCCCUGCAACGAUGUCCUGCCAAAACAAUUAACAUUUGCUGAGAGGCCAGUGGGAGAGUCUACAGCAAAAUCAAUUAAUGAUAAAACCUUUCAGCAAAUGCAUGCGAUUUUAUCAUUUUAUAAUGUUGCCAUCUGAGCAAUAAAUAAAUAGUGUGUGUGU
Long non-coding RNA from Alligator mississippiensis (American alligator), 5800 nucleotides. RefSeq lists it as uncharacterized. NCBI's taxonomy places the organism in Eukaryota, Metazoa, Chordata, Crocodylia, Alligatoridae. The transcript has 4 exons. The record is from RefSeq and is a predicted model, not a curated record.